This 433-nucleotide ribosomal RNA is filed under the name uncultured bacterium. RNAcentral's name for it is "partial 16S ribosomal RNA". It matches the Rfam family "Bacterial small subunit ribosomal RNA", at positions 29 to 507 of the family's 1533-position model. The record is from RNAcentral.
AACGAACGCUGGCGGCAUGCCUAACACAUGCAAGUCGAACGAGACCUUCGGGUCUAGGGGCGCACGGGUGCGUAACGCGUGGGAACCUGCCCUUAGGUUCGGAAUAACUCCCCGAAAGGGGUGCUAAUACCGGAUAAUGUCUUCGGACCAAAGAUUUAUCGCCUUGGGAUGGGCCCGCGUUGGAUUAGCUAGUUGGUAGGGUAAAAGCCUACCAAGGCGAGGAUCCAUAGCUGGUCUGAGAGGAUGAUCAGCCACACUGGGGCUGAGACACGGCCCAGACUCCUACGGGAGGCAGCAGUGGAGAGUAUAGGGCGAUGGACGAAAGACUGAUCCAGCAAUGCCGCGUAAGAGGUGAAGGCCUUAGGGUUGUAAAGCUCUUUUUCCCGAGGUGAUAAUGACAGUACCGGGAGAAUAAGCGCCGGCUAACUCCGUG